Molecule: ribosomal RNA, 497 nt
Filed under: uncultured bacterium
Lineage: Bacteria
Description: partial 16S ribosomal RNA
Rfam family: Bacterial small subunit ribosomal RNA
Source: RNAcentral
GAUGAACGCUGGCGGCGUGCCUAAUACAUGCAAGUCGAGCGAACAGACGAGGAGCUUGCUCCUCUGACGUUAGCGGCGGACGGGUGAGUAACACGUGGAUAACCUACCUAUAAGACUGGGAUAACUUCGGGAAACCGGAGCUAAUACCGGAUAAUAUAUUGAACCGCAUGGUUCAAUAGUGAAAGACGGUUUUGCUGUCUCUUAUAGAUGGAUCCGCGCCGCAUUAGCUAGUUGGUAAGGUAACGGCUUACCAAGGCAACGAUGCGUAGCCGACGUGAGAGGGUGAUCGGCCACACUGGAACUGAGACACGGUCCAGACUCCUACGGGAGGCAGCAGUAGGGAAUCUUCCGCAAUGGGCGAAAGCUUGACGGAGCAACGCCGCGUGAGUGAUGAAGGUCUUCGGAUCGUAAAACUCUGUUAUUAGGGAAGAACAAAUGUGUAAGUAACUAUGCACGUCUUGACGGUACCUAAUCAGAAAGCCACGGCUAACUACGUG